GCUUUUUAAGGAUGUCACCACCUGGGCGGUGGAUUUGUCGGUGAAGGACGCACAUGACAGCGACACGCAGAAUCACCUCGGAGCUGACGCCCCCUAUUCAGAAUUAUUUGGCACACACUUUUCGAUCUGACUACUAUCUUUAAAGUAUCAUCGCAUGGCAUUUUAUAGUUGGUGCAGCCUAUCUUUUUAUAAGCUGCCCUCGUGUCAGAAGGGAGGAUCUAGCACAAAAGUGCCUGCCCACUUGACGCAAACAUUCAGACAAGUGAUCCGAUGUCCCUCGAAGCUGAGGCUCCUUCUCAAAAGCACAUAUUGCGGAUACAAUAUGUGAAAUCAAGAGCAUUUUGGCACGCUUCGUAGGAGGCUGAGUACGGCGCGGGUUGCAUGUGGUCUACUGUGAACAUGUUACGACUAGGUGCUUGAAUGUUGCAGUCCCCCAAAGGAGCAUAGGCACAUUCACCUUUGAUGUGGCAUCUUCCAUGGAAAGCUUCAAAACGAUUGGAAAUAACAGGAGAGACAAUCCAGACUCGCCGAGCGGUCUGACAGGUGCGGAACCUGCUUCCCGAAUCUCAUGUGGAUCCGACGAACCGGAAGAAGUACGGCCUUAGGUACGGUACCAGGGACCUUGAUGUGGCCUAUGUAACAGGACUGUAGAGAAAGGGAACUUCUUUUGAUUGCCGGGAGCCAUUACGGUUGUGGAACGCGGAGUGGACCGCACGUUUGGGCUGCGGCCAAAUGGGACCAUUCCUGUGAUCAGCUGUUCCCCCCGAGCUGGCUGUCUCAAGGGAAUAUGUUUGGAAAGAGGGUAGCAGGGCACAUACACCCCAUACACUUUUCCUCUACCCUGCAGAAAUUCGGAGGCGCAAGGUCACAGGGUCUGACACAAAAAGUGAACGUCACAACCUGUACGAGGGCGCAGAUGAAGACCAGUACGACUAUGCGAGAAAAGAGAGCGAGUUUCUAAAGUCGCAACCGCCUUUGUCGGAAAGCGGGCUUGCCCCUAGGAGACGGUGCUGUGGAGCAGUUCCCUCGAAGAGCGAUACAGUUUACGCUUGAUCCCUGUCUGGUUCCCACUUAUUUUGGCCCCCCUACAAAAUUAAACUUUCGGCAG
RNAcentral lists this long non-coding RNA (1108 nucleotides) under Toxoplasma gondii VEG. The record is from RNAcentral. Lineage: Eukaryota; Apicomplexa; Conoidasida; Eucoccidiorida; Sarcocystidae.